Long non-coding RNA from Anopheles stephensi (Asian malaria mosquito), 2238 nucleotides. RefSeq lists it as uncharacterized. The record is from RefSeq and is a predicted model, not a curated record. Lineage: Eukaryota; Metazoa; Arthropoda; Insecta; Diptera; Culicidae. The transcript is spliced from 3 exons.
UGAUUGUCCGCCACUGUAGGGGAAAUGUUUGUUUAUCUCUUGCGGUGUGCUGUACGUUUGCUCGGAUGUUUUACAUGAUGAACAAUUUCGUGGUAGAAAACAGCCUCCUGAGUUCCGCCGUGAUGCAGGGGACAAGUAUUACUAGCGCAUUGAAUGGAUGAUUGCUGUCUGAUUACUGGGAAAACGAGAUGCGAUACGAUUGUUUGACAUGGUUUACCUUAGGUUGGCAGGAAGCAUUCCACCGAUCGCACGUGGAGAACGCGGAUUUUUACGGAGAAGCGGCAAUGCAAGGCUUACGUUAGCGAAUUUUCGGCACGGUUGUCUCAUAACAGCAACCGUCUCAUUUUCUACGAUAUCUGGGAGCAAUGAGGAAAUACGGGGAUAAAUCAGAAUGCCAAUCAGCGUGUUGGUUGUAACGGGCAGCACACGUACAUAAUACCUUAUGUAUUAUCACUGUGUCGUAUCGCCAAGGCACCUCGUGUUGAGUGCUUGAAAUGAGAAUGGACGGAACUGCUUCGUAGUUAGCUACAGACUAACUGGCGAGAAUGGUGACACUGUCAUAGAGAUCUGGAUUUGGUGGACCUCAGUCGAAAGACGAUGAAACAGAUCUAGGAUUUUUUGAAGCAGUAUCGGCAGUCACAAUUAUGUGAUUUGCGUGCAAUGACUGCCUUUAGCACCAUAAAUCAGACCGAAGUGUGGAAAACCAUACAGCAGUACAGAUCGCCACCGCGGAUAAUGGUGUAAGGUGCAGUGUAAGGUGAGAAUGUCGAACAUGUUGUCGGAAUCGUGCAAUUUCCACCGAGGUCCUAGAUCUAGAAGAUGGCAAGCGCAACGCGAGCUUCGAUAUCCGGGGCACGGUUUAUCCCCGAUUUCUUCAAUUCCUUGGCUACCGUGACUGUCAGCCGGACUGUGAAGCAGAGUAUCUGUUAACGGUGACCAUCUCGAGGUGACCAUCUUCUACUGGCAAGAGUCCUGGACUAUACUGACGAAAAACGCCAAUACAAUGGCCAUUUUUGAGCGGUGGGGGCCAUUAACUAUCCUUCGGCUGGGCGUGCACUGAAGUAUAUGAACCAUUACCUAGCUACUGAGGAUAUCUUAAGGGUAGUUAAAGUCGGAAGGUUUUGAAGGUGCACGUGACAAGGAUGCCGGCCUCCUGUCCCAUCAGUAAGGUGUUCGUCAGCGAUCCGUUCGGUUCGAGGCGUAGAGAAGCACCGUGAGCCCGUUUCAAAGGAUAAAAACACGUUUAUUUCUCUUGCAAUAGUACGAAAAGUAAAAAUCAGACUUUUUACCACACUUGCGCUACAAGAAUCUUGCGUCACUGUUAAAAAAACUCAUCCAAAAACUUUCAAAAAUGCAAAAUGUCUCUUCAUACAGCGUGGUACCGUGUCAUCAUUUUGCCGUUUCUGGUUUUCUUUGGCUUGAUUUUAUUCGAAGCUGGAAAGCCAAGUCCUGCGUUUGAUGAUGAGACGAUAUGGAUGGGAUUUGAUCGUGGGUCCAGUGCGAAGAUCGAUGCUGCAAUUGUCUCGACCACCGGACCAUCACAUUCCCUGUUAUAAGUUCUACAUGUAUAGAUUAGAAUUACUCUGCGGAGAAUAAUUGGCUCCAAUGCUUAACUUCUUCAUCAGUGACUGGAACUGAUCUGCAAUGUCCUGGUAUCGUGCCAAACGGAGCACUGACUUUUAUAUUUGUGGCAAAGUGUCAAUACGUCAACCAGACAAAAGUUACCCGUUCAGGUCUAACCAUUUCGCAUUGGGCGAGCAUCUCCAGCGUAUAGAACGGGUCGACUCCAAGGCAUGUGGAUCUUCUAUGGUCUUUUGUGGAGUACGAGGCUGCUCGAUCGCUGUUAUUGGACGCAGUUCGGGACAUCGGCAGAACGCCUAACGUUCCAGUUCGAGGUUUGCUAGGAGGCGUGGAUGAUACCUACCUGAGGUCUAAUUUUGAGUUGUGCCGAGCGAAUGAUCAGGCAAAGUGAUGGAAGAACACUGGCUCUCGAAACCCAUUGAAAUAUCCACAAAGGCUAACACUACCGUGAUGAGAUGAUCACACACGAUACCGACCCUCGUAAUCAACAAGACAACAAUUUGGAUGACGGAAUUAUUAUUUACGGAUCAGUCGAGCUAAUCCGGGAUUCACGGUUUGGAGAAGGAAAGGACUCCAAACCAUCGUGAAAUGUUUUGUUAUCUACUUUAAAGCUAGGACGGCCAGGCCCUUCAUGAAUAAAAAAUUAAAUGAAAGGUA